Molecule: transfer RNA, 72 nt
Filed under: Halosauropsis macrochir (abyssal halosaur)
Lineage: Eukaryota; Metazoa; Chordata; Actinopteri; Notacanthiformes; Halosauridae
Description: tRNA-Ile
Rfam family: tRNA
About the family: Transfer RNA (tRNA) molecules are approximately 80 nucleotides in length. Their secondary structure includes four short double-helical elements and three loops (D, anti-codon, and T loops).
Source: RNAcentral
GGAAAUGUGCCUGAAUGCCAAAGGGCCACUUUGAUAGAGUGGAUAAUAAGGGUUAAAAUCCCUUUAUUUCCU